RNAcentral lists this ribosomal RNA (143 nucleotides) under uncultured bacterium. RNAcentral's name for it is "partial 16S ribosomal RNA". It matches the Rfam family "Bacterial small subunit ribosomal RNA", at positions 386 to 524 of the family's 1533-position model. The record is from RNAcentral.
AUGCAGCAUGCCGCGUGUAUGAAGAAGGCCUUCGGGUUGUGAAGUUCUUUUCCCGGGGAGGAAGGCGGACGGUUCCAGCCUCUACGCUUGACCUUACCCUGAGAAAACACCCCCGGUAAUUCCGUGCCAGCAGCCGCGGUAAU